CGGAAGUAUCCUCACCGUGUAAAUGAUGCUGAGGGACGGGCUUUGCCUUCCGCUGAUCGUGGCGAUGAUCCCGCGGAUUCUGACCGCCUACGUGGAUCAAUCGCCUUCCUCCCUGACCGUCCAGGAGGGAAAGACGGCUACUCUCUCGUGUACACUGCUGAAUACGGUCUAUACAAAUAUGUACUGGUACCGACAGCGCUCCGGCCGGGCAAUAGAUGCUCUCUUCUAUUCAGCUGGGCAAGAUUCAGCUAUGAACUACACUUCUGAUUCCUACGCGGCGACAAGACCCAGCAGCACUCUGUUUAAACUGGAACUGAAACAGGCAUCGUCCUCCCACUCGGCCGUCUACUUCUGCGCUUGUAGUAGCGCACAGAAGUUGAAAUAA
Molecule: non-coding RNA, 385 nt
Organism: Mobula hypostoma (lesser devil ray)
Lineage: Eukaryota; Metazoa; Chordata; Chondrichthyes; Myliobatiformes; Myliobatidae
Source: the annotation of a RefSeq genome assembly